Molecule: transfer RNA, 71 nt
Filed under: Camelus bactrianus (Bactrian camel)
Lineage: Eukaryota; Metazoa; Chordata; Mammalia; Artiodactyla; Camelidae
Also listed under: 2 other names
Rfam family: tRNA
About the family: Transfer RNA (tRNA) molecules are approximately 80 nucleotides in length. Their secondary structure includes four short double-helical elements and three loops (D, anti-codon, and T loops). Further hydrogen bonds mediate the characteristic L-shaped molecular structure. tRNAs have two regions of fundamental functional importance: the anti-codon, which is responsible for specific mRNA codon recognition, and the 3' end, to which the tRNAs corresponding amino acid is attached (by aminoacyl-tRNA synthetases). tRNAs cope with the degeneracy of the genetic code in two manners: having more than one tRNA (with a specific anti-codon) for a particular amino acid; and 'wobble' base-pairing, i.e. permitting non-standard base-pairing at the 3rd anti-codon position.
Source: Rfam by way of RNAcentral
GAGGGUGUAGCUUAGUGGUAGAGUGCAUGCUUAGCAUGCAUGAGGUCCUGGGUUCAAUCCUCGAAACCUCC